CUACGGGAGGCAGCAGUGGGGAAUAUUGCGCAAUGGAGGAAACUCUGACGCAGCAACGCCGCGUGAAGGAUGAAGGUUUUCGGAUUGUAAACUUCUUUGACGAGGGACGAUAAUGACGGUACCUCGAAAACAAGCCACGGCUAACUACGUGCCAGCAGCCGCGGUAAUACGUAGGUGGCGAGCGUUGUCCGGAAUUACUGGGUGUAAAGGGCGAGUAGGCGGGAUGGCAAGUCAGGUGUGAAAUUUAUGGGCUCAACCCAUAAACUGCAUUUGAAACUGCUGUUCUUGAGUGAUGGAGAGGCAGGCGGAAUUCCUAGUGUAGCGGUGAAAUGCGUAGAUAUUAGGAGGAACACCAGUGGCGAAGGCGGCCUGCUGGACAUUAACUGACGCUGAGGCGCGAAAGCGUGGGGAGCAAACAGGAUUAGAUACCCUAGUAGUCCA
Molecule: ribosomal RNA, 441 nt
Filed under: uncultured bacterium
Lineage: Bacteria
Description: bacterial SSU rRNA
Rfam family: Bacterial small subunit ribosomal RNA
Source: RNAcentral